ACUGCUGGGCACAAGGAUCUGCUUGAAGGAGAUCCUUACUUGAAGCAGAGACUGAGACUACGUAACUCUUACAUCACCACACUCAAUGUCUGUCAAGCUUACACACUGAAGAGGAUCCGUGACCCGAGCUACAAUGUGACUCUACGACCUCACAUCUCUAAGGAGAUUGCUGAAUCGAGCAAAGAACUCAUCGAGCUUAACCCGACGAGCGAGUACGCGCCUGGACUUGAAGAUACACUCAUCCUGACCAUGAAGGGUGUCGCUGCUGGUCUACAGAACACCGGUUGAGUAAAAAAAAACAGAGAUGAGCCUCUCUGUUUCUCCACACUCUGCUUUUUUUUAUCUACGGAUUCAAAAAUAAUAAAUUAUUGCGGUUGGGUUUAUUGGUUUGUUUAUGUAAAUCCACCGUCAAAGUGUUGAUCUUUGUGUACGAAUUACUCUUUCGAGAUUAUGAACACAUGCUCUGUUUUUUUAUUUAUCGAAUGUAACAAAACCGAGCAAGGGAAUCUCAUUCUUGUUUGUUUGUCUUUUACUUAACCUUCUUCCUCUUUACGGAUCGUUGCUAUUUGAUUUCGGUUUGGUUUGUUCUAAACCGGAUAAUAAUAAAUAGUUUUUGGUUUAGUUUUUUGCCUCAUAUGCUUUCGUUUGUCUCGACUCAAUAACAUACAUGUCGGCUGAGUAUGUGUAUGUGGUGGUCCCGAGAAACGACAGACAUGUUUGAGAAAAGAGGCCGUUGAAGAAGGAAAGUAGUGGUGCAAGAAAACGACGUGGUGUUUGGGUCUUGUCUAUAGACACGCCUUGCAUUUUUUUAUUCUGUUACGCCUCAACGGUUGUAUUUAUUGUGGGGAAUUUAUUAUAGUGUACACUGUACGUGUAUCUGUUUUUUUUAACUAAAGCGUACUUUAUGCGUAAUUAACUCUUAAGUAAUCAAGUACGUUUUGGAUUUCACUCUCAAAUGUAAAAAAGUCCACAACUCGAAAGCCGGUGUCUGUAAACCACGCGCCUCCACUGGUUUUGAAGGUGGAAAAAUAAUAAGAAAAUGAGAAAUUUUAUGAAUAGGCUUUUCUGAUAUUUUAUGAAGACGACCAAAAAUAUUAUCCACUAAAGAAAGGAUAAAUACGUGUCAGUGGACGAGGAAUACAAGGCACCGACUACAGCCGGCGCAAUAUAGCACCGCCCAACCACCGUAAAGUCCAUAACCUUCCUACCUUUUUUUAUUUUAAAAAUAAUUUUGGGUUUCUAGUUAUCUUUAUUGUUGGGCGUUAUGUUCAUAAUUAUCCCUUUACAACAACUUCUUAGUUAAAAACUAACUAAAAGGAGCUUUGUAUGGUGCAUAUUGUAUUCUCUUUUCUUUUCAAUCCCUUGAAGAGAGGGCAACUAACACAUUAAGACCAAAAGCAUUAGCUAAAGUUGCUUGCAUUAACAAACUAAAUCAUUCUCUAAUAAAUCCGUAUCUCCUUUUUGUAGUUGGUAACGACUAAAGUAUUUUUUAAAAUUAACUUUUAAAUCGGUCACCUAUCUCCCUUUUUCUUUGGUUGAAAGUUUAUAAUACAGUCAAAUAUACUCAUUCAUUCCGUUUUAUAUUAAGUGUCGUUGUAGAGAAAUUUCGACUUUCAAUAAAAAAUUUAUUAAUUUUAUUCAGCAAUUUAUUUUUGUAUUGGUUGAAAUAUAAUAAAACGUAUAGAUAAUUGUGUUUUUAUAUAGAAAAUAUACAAAAUUAAUUGUUUCCUUAGUCGGUGUGCAUAAACCCAAAACGACCCUUAAACAGAAAAAGUAGUAAUUAAUGAUAAAUAUAGAACUAUAUCUAAAUUCAUUUUUUAUAUCAUACAGGUAUACAUAUUUCAGUAAACUCAUUUUCCUAGAAUAUUUUUAGAUUUAGUUAGUUAUACAUGAAUUUGUGUAGAAUCUACAAAACAUAAAUAACAUCAACUUUGUAGGAAAAUGAAUAAAGUUAUAUCUUUUUAUUGAUGAAAAUGCUGUGACAAAGAGAACUGGAAUGAGAAGAUGGUUCACUACUCUCUAAGAGUAACAAAGGAUAAAAAAAUGAAGAAUCCAAAUCUUCCUCUUUUGCCCAUUUUGGUAAAGCCCCUUCCUCACUCGCAUACAAACUUCUCUUAUGUACAGAGUAAUCUCCAACCAAUAAACAGCUCUCAAUACCUAAACAAGUGAAGCUGAAGGAGCCAAAAUGAAUGUAAGAAGAACAUAGACAGAGAGGUUCAAUUCAGCAGGGCUAUAUUCCAUGUUCACUUAGAUUCUUAAGAGUUCACUUUAACACAUAAUCUUGUCAACCUCUACGCAGGCUACACCGGAGCUAGAGUAUGGUCGUAUGAACAUUGGAAGCAGACCUUCAAAGAGGAAACCAAGCGGCGGCAUUGAGUCUCUCCGUGCCAUCCCAUGGAUCUUUGCUUGGACUCAAACGAGAUUCCAUCUCCCUGUGUGGCUUGGAUUCGGAGCAGCCAUCAGGCACGUGGUUGAGAAAGACGUGAAGAACCUACACAUGCUUCAGGACAUGUACCAACACUGGCCUUUCUUUAGAGUCACUAUUGAUCUAAUCGAAAUGGUGUUCGCUAAAGGAGAUCCAGGUAUCGCUGCCUUGUACGAUAAGCUUCUUGUCUCAGAGGAGCUAUGGCCUUUUGGGGAGAAACUCAGAGCUAACUUCGAAGAAACCAAGAAACUCGUCCUCCAGGUUAAUACAGAAAUAAACAGAGCUUUCUUGAUUUUCUUGAUUGGUUACAUCAAACUCAGAACUAAUCGAUUUUGUUGUGUUGCAGACUGCUGGGCACAAGGAUCUGCUUGAAGGAGAUCCUUACUUGAAGCAGAGACUGAGACUACGUAACUCUUACAUCACCACACUCAAUGUCUGUCAAGCUUACACACUGAAGAGGAUCCGUGACCCGAGCUACAAUGUGACUCUACGACCUCACAUCUCUAAGGAGAUUGCUGAAUCGAGCAAAGAACUCAUCGAGCUUAACCCGACGAGCGAGUACGCGCCUGGACUUGAAGAUACACUCAUCCUGACCAUGAAGGGUGUCGCUGCUGGUCUACAGAACACCGGUUGAGUAAAAAAAAACAGAGAUGAGCC
RNAcentral lists this long non-coding RNA (3082 nucleotides) under Brassica napus (rape). Its description in RNAcentral is "long non-coding RNA (BNAP_LNC006499)". Lineage: Eukaryota; Viridiplantae; Streptophyta; Magnoliopsida; Brassicales; Brassicaceae. The record is from RNAcentral.